This 30-nucleotide non-coding RNA is filed under the name Rattus norvegicus (Norway rat). The record is from RNAcentral. Lineage: Eukaryota; Metazoa; Chordata; Mammalia; Rodentia; Muridae.
UAUAUAUAUUAUGUAUAUAAAUUGAAUGCU